UACGGAGGGUGCAAGCGUUGUUCGGAAUUACUGGGCGUAAAGCGUGUCUAGGUGGAUCUGUAAGUCAGGUGUUAAAGCUCCCGGCUCAACCGGGAAAUGUCGCUUGAUACUGCAGGUCUUGAGUUUCGGGGAGGUGAGUGGAAUUCCCAGUGUAGAGGUGAAAUUCGUAGAGAUUGGGAGGAACACCGGAGGCGAAAGCGACUCACUAACCGAACACUGACACUCAAGCACGAAAGCGUGGGUAGCAAAC
RNAcentral lists this ribosomal RNA (250 nucleotides) under uncultured bacterium. RNAcentral's name for it is "partial 16S ribosomal RNA". It matches the Rfam family "Bacterial small subunit ribosomal RNA", at positions 524 to 773 of the family's 1533-position model. The record is from RNAcentral.